RNAcentral lists this ribosomal RNA (250 nucleotides) under uncultured prokaryote. RNAcentral describes it as "partial 16S ribosomal RNA". It matches the Rfam family "Bacterial small subunit ribosomal RNA", at positions 524 to 773 of the family's 1533-position model. The record is from RNAcentral.
UACGGAAGGUCCGGGCGUUAUCCGGAUUUAUUGGGUUUAAAGGGAGCGCAGGCUGAUUGUUAAGCGUGACGUGAAAUGUAGCCGCUCAACGGCUGAACUGCGUCGCGAACUGGCAGUCUUGAGUGAGUACGACGUCAGCGGAAUUCGUGGUGUAGCGGUGAAAUGCUUAGAUAUCACGAAGAACCCCGAUUGCGAAGGCAGCUGACGAGUCCUUUACUGACGCUAAAGCUCGAAGGUGCGGGUAUCGAAC